This 461-nucleotide ribosomal RNA is filed under the name Prevotella nigrescens. RNAcentral describes it as "bacterial SSU rRNA". It matches the Rfam family "Bacterial small subunit ribosomal RNA", at positions 28 to 475 of the family's 1533-position model. Lineage: Bacteria; Pseudomonadati; Bacteroidota; Bacteroidia; Bacteroidales; Prevotellaceae. The record is from RNAcentral.
GAUGAACGCUAGCUACAGGCUUAACACAUGCAAGUCGUGGGGAAACGGCAUUAUGUGCUUGCACAUUCUGGACGUCGACCGGCGCACGGGUGAGUAUCGCGUAUCCAACCUGCCCCUUACUUGGGGAUACCCCGUUGAAAGACGGCCUAAUACCCGAUGUGUUUCAUUGACGGCAUCCGAUAUGAAACAAAGGUUUUUCCGGUAAGGGAUGGGGAUGCGUCUGAUUAGCUUGUUGGCGGGGCAACGGCCCACCAAGGCAACGAUCAGUAGGGGUUCUGAGAGGAAGGUCCCCCACAUUGGAACUGAGACACGGUCCAAACUCCUACGGGAGGCAGCAGUGAGGAAUAUUGGUCAAUGGACGCAAGUCUGAACCAGCCAAGUAGCGUGCAGGAUGACGGCCCUAUGGGUUGUAAACUGCUUUUAUGUGGGAAUAAAGUGGCGCACGUGUGCGCCAUUGCAUG